GGCCGUCUCAGGUUGUCCAAGAGAGACUCGAUGCUAUAUAACUGUUGAAAAAGACAGAACGGUUUGGUUUGGCAUAGCUAAGUAUUGUCUCACCAACUGUCAAAAAGGGGUGACUUAUUUCUUGCCUAUUGUUUGAGAAACAGUAAUGCCAGUCAUUGGACAUGUGACAGUGACAGAUUGCUAACAUAGGAACAAAAAUUAGAUGUCCGACCAAGGACAACGCAAAGUUUGCAUCAUAAUGGAUUUACAGACAGGCUGUACAGUGACAGCGAGGACGAGUCUUUAUGUGACAGGAUGCCUAGCCACGCAUCUUCAUGGUAGCUGCCUUGCUAUAAUGAUGAGAUAUUAUGAGCCACUUGAUGGAAGGAUGAAUGCCAGCAGGAUGACUAAGUGACAGAAACUUUCAUAUGCCUAAAAAUUUAAGAUAGUUCUAAUAAUUUUAGCCUUCUGUUUCAGCAUGAUUUUAAGAUUGUAGGAUAGGGAUGUCACAGAGGUCUGGAAAAACUGUUGCUAACUAAGAUGAAUUCGCAUCUGGAACACCUGCUGUGAAGGAAGGCUGGGGACGCACCAAGAAAGAAAUGUUUUCUUUCAGGCCAUGUUGCCAGUGCCACAAGUAACAGAACUGAGGAUCAGCAUUGAAGACACACACUCAAAGGCAGGCUGGAAUACGAGAACAGGCCAGGAUGGAGGGGGUCUAGACUGCAACGUUAACAACUGUUUGGGGAGACUGGAGCCAGACCUAGGCCCUUCUGCAAACCAAAAGCCAUGUGUAGAUGGCAAGAGAGGCGAGUAAUGACGGUACUGAGCCAGAACAGCAAAAUUCGGCCAAGUCGUGUUCAUACCAUUCACAGCACCAGGGGGAACAUAGGAACGACAGAGCGAGGACAGUAGAUAUAUCUGCAACCAUUCUUGUAUCGGACUUCCACAAAGGCGAAGAGGUCUUUGGAGCACCAUUUGCAGACUUGUUACGAAAAACCUGAGGGCAAGACCAAUAGAGUUAUGUGAUUCCUCUUUACCACGAGCGGGCCCAUUUAGGCCUAUAACUGCAUAGCUGCCAACCCCUCCGUAUUUUCCGUAUUUAGUCCGGAAAUGCGCUUAAAAAAACCAGAGUCCGGAAAAUACGGAUAACCCCUUUAAAAGUCCGGUUUCGAACUUUUUGCAUUUUGAUUUUCGAUCGUUUCGUUGAUUUCUGUUUUCCAAUGUCAGUCUCGCGCAACUAUCUCGCAUAUUCAUUUAUGAGCACUGCACUUUUCUAUUGCGUCUCAAGUUUCAUUUUCUAUGCGUUGUGCAAGCCUCGACCGUGCCUUCAACAAUGGCGGAUGUCUAACUACUCUUCGCGAUUUUCUAGUAGAUUUUCGCCAAUAAAUAUGAGUUUUUAAUUGAGGGGUUGUCAUUGAGAUGUCAAAACGAGCAUUUUUGUCCCAAAGUACCCCCCCCCCCCCCAAAUACAACAGUGUAAGAGUGAUUUUACAGUUAUCUGACUCGCAACUUGAGAGUCCUGAAGGACCCCCAAAAGUCCUGAAAAAAUUGAAAUCUACAGAAAAAAGUCCUGAAGGGCUAAAUCAGGGGUUGGCAGCUAUGUAACUGUGUGCUUUGUGCUCUGUAGUAUGUGAUUUGAAAAGUUGUAAAUCUGGUUAUUGGAGUAAAGAUUGUACAAUUGAAUAUCCACACCUGGUAUUCUAGUUACUGUAGCUUAGCUAGGGUAGUGACCUUUUUGUUUUCACUUUUAAAACCCUAUGCGAUUUGCCGCACUGAACCCUCCAGGGAUUGUUGUACUGGGUGCAUUAAAUGUGACAAAAAUAUCCAACACCUAUUUACAAAUGAAGUGAGGGGUCAGCCUUUUGGUGUAACUCCAUAUAACUGUCUGGUGAUUUCGCUCUGGGCUUGUGACAUUCUGAUCGGUCUGAAAUAAUCAUUAUCGCCCAUCCCUCAAUUUGAGGCCUGUGUCCCGAUGGUGGAGUUGAAUGGCGAAAUCAAAGGGGCAUGACGGCGGUUAAACCUAUUGCGAAUGGGCAGCAUCACAACCAGUUCUGAGAUCUGGGUGUGGUGUAGGAUAUUCGGUAACCACGCACACAUCUCCUGAAUCUGCGGUGGGUUGGUACCCCACGCUACGUAGGGGGAGGUUUCUGGGUAAGACUUGGUCCAUGUGAAUAGGCAGUACCUAAAAGAUGAGAAGUUGCGAAUGGACGCCCUGUGAAUAUGUCCUUCGACCAGCUAGUGCUAACCCGGUCACUGUCUCCAGGUCACCAUGCCUCGGUCAAUGAGCGGGCGAAGAACCCAAUGGCUCCGUCAGGAGUACAUCGUCAACUUCAGCCCGUAGUCAAACCGGCACGCACAAAUAUCUUAGUUGAGAGUGGGGGACAUACUUGAAAAUGCUUCUCA
This is a long non-coding RNA of Lineus longissimus, 2382 nucleotides long. RefSeq lists it as uncharacterized. The transcript has 3 exons. NCBI's taxonomy places the organism in Eukaryota, Metazoa, Nemertea, Pilidiophora, Heteronemertea, Lineidae. The record is from RefSeq and is a predicted model, not a curated record.